RNAcentral lists this small RNA (655 nucleotides) under Histoplasma ohiense. RNAcentral's name for it is "hypothetical lncRNA". The record is from RNAcentral. Lineage: Eukaryota; Fungi; Ascomycota; Eurotiomycetes; Onygenales; Ajellomycetaceae.
GCGCUGGGUAAGGGUCUUUAUGCAAAAAGCCAAAUCAUCUCUUGAAAUCAAGCACUCGCAAUAUUUAUUCCUCCCUGAGUACCUCCCAUAAAGUUGACUUAUGAAGAAAGCCGUCAACUCGCAAUAGAUGUUGGUUACUACAUUUCGCAAUAUCGCCAAAUACAUUAUAGUGACCAGAAGCAUGUCAUGUGUGAUGCCAUCACACUGAUGAUCGCGGGCCAUAUGGCCUCUAUCAUUUAUCAUAUAGAUAUGAAGGAGGAGUUUCUGUUCUGAUACUAUCAAGAUCCGCGGUCAAAUCGUCCAGGAAGUCGGCUUGGGAACACUCACUCAGACCUCAUUUGUCAAACCUUCUUGUUGAGGGUGGACGACUAUGCGGUAUCGUCGAUUUGGAAAAUGCUGGUUUAAAACGUGAGCUUUAAGAACACACUUGGAUUGUGUGUGGGCAUAAAAGCAACCAUCGGCUUGCGCAGGAUUUCGAAUGUGCAUCUGAAAAGUGCUACGAAAAGGAGUUAGAAGCUGAGCAGUUGCUUUGCAAGCUGAAACCUGUUUACUGAUCUCCACCUCGGCAUCUGUGAGGUAUCUCGAGACAUGGACAUUAUUUUAACAUUGACAAAUUAUCCAUUUAAAAAAAAAAAAUCGAAAAUCGAAAAUCGAA